GCAGCCCACAACAGUGUCCUGAUUCCUGGUCACAAGCCCGAGGACUACCUGUGUCAGUUCGUAACCUGGCAGUCACCCUUUUACAGUGUUUGAUUCUCGCAGUGUUUGAUUCUCGCAGUUCAAAUUAUCUUUCUUUGGGUUGUUUCCAUCACGCUCCAGCCCGAGGUAACCUUUAUUGCUGAAGGAGGAAUAAAUGUAGCUCUCUUUAUUAUUAUUUUCCGUUCUUCCUUCUGCUCCUCCUCUUCCUCCUCCUCUCUUUUUUAACACCUGUAUUUUCUUUUGCUAACUCAGCAACAAUCCCAGUCUUUGUACUUUGACAAAGAACACAUGAAGAGGCGCUUAGGCAGAGCCACCUAUGCCGUGGAGGCUAGGGAGUACAUUCUUUCUCUGAAGCUGGGAGGAGGACCGGAAGAUUAUAGCAACCUUCCCCCAGAGCAACGGAGAAAGAAACUCCAGCAGAAAGUGGAUGAAAUCAACAAGGAUAUUCAGAAAGAGCUGGAUCAAAGGUAGAUCAAACGAUAGGGGGGAAAUGCGGGGACUAUUCUAGAAAGAGCGCGGAGAAGAGCCACAAAGGAGAUUGGGGGCUGGAGGCUAAAACAUAUGAAAAAAAAUGGCUGCAGGGAACCGUGG
Non-coding RNA from Thamnophis sirtalis, 630 nucleotides. Lineage: Eukaryota; Metazoa; Chordata; Lepidosauria; Squamata; Natricidae. The record is from RefSeq and is a predicted model, not a curated record.